GAGAGGUGGUGGGCGGCUGACCGAAAGGAGGAAAGUCCCCCCACCGUUAAUGGCGGAGUGCCGCAAGGCACUAUGCCGAGAGGCAUGGUUUUGGCACAGAAAAAUAACCUGCCCAGGGCUAUGCGAUGACUCCGAGAGGAUGAGGUCACCUGGGCAGGAUGAAAUCGCCAGCCCCGCCGGUGCAACGCUUAGCGGCUCAGACUAAUGCCGCCGGAACAGAAGGGGGCUUACUACCACCUCUC
RNAcentral lists this RNase P RNA (242 nucleotides) under Archaeoglobus veneficus. RNAcentral describes it as "RNase P RNA component". It matches the Rfam family "Archaeal RNase P". Rfam says of the family: Ribonuclease P (RNase P) is a ubiquitous endoribonuclease, found in archaea, bacteria and eukarya as well as chloroplasts and mitochondria. Its best characterised activity is the generation of mature 5'-ends of tRNAs by cleaving the 5'-leader elements of precursor-tRNAs. Lineage: Archaea; Methanobacteriati; Methanobacteriota; Archaeoglobi; Archaeoglobales; Archaeoglobaceae. The record is from RNAcentral.